AUUGAACGCUGGCGGCAUGCCUUACACAUGCAAGUCGAACGGCAGCGGGGGAGAAGCUUGCUUUUCCUGCCGGCGAGUGGCGAACGGGUGAGUAAUACAUCGGAACGUGCCCUGUAGUGGGGGAUAACUAGUCGAAAGAUUAGCUAAUACCGCAUACGACCUGAGGGUGAAAGUGGGGGACCGCAAGGCCUCACGCAGCAGGAGCGGCCGAUGUCUGAUUAGCUAGUUGGUGGGGUAAAGGCCCACCAAGGCGACGAUCAGUAGCUGGUCUGAGAGGACGAUCAGCCACACUGGGACUGAGACACGGCCCAGACUCCUACGGGAGGCAGCAGUGGGGAAUUUUGGACAAUGGGGGCAACCCUGAUCCAGCAAUGCCGCGUGUGUGAAGAAGGCCUUCGGGUUGUAAAGCACUUUUGUCCGGAAAGAAAUCGCGCUGGUUAAUACCUGGCGUGGAUGACGGUACCGGAAGAAUAAGCACCGGCUAACUACGUGCCAGCAGCCGCCGUAA
This 508-nucleotide ribosomal RNA is filed under the name uncultured bacterium. Its description in RNAcentral is "partial 16S ribosomal RNA". It matches the Rfam family "Bacterial small subunit ribosomal RNA", at positions 30 to 523 of the family's 1533-position model. The record is from RNAcentral.